RNAcentral lists this ribosomal RNA (305 nucleotides) under uncultured bacterium. Its description in RNAcentral is "bacterial SSU rRNA". It matches the Rfam family "Bacterial small subunit ribosomal RNA", at positions 335 to 638 of the family's 1533-position model. The record is from RNAcentral.
UUACCUACGGGACGCAGCAGUGAGGAAUAUUGGUCAAUGGUCGGGAGACUGAACCAGCCAAGCCGCGUGAGGGAGGAAGGUACAGAGUAUCGUAAACCUCUUUUGUCAGGGAACAAAGGCGGGGACGUGUCCCCGGAUGAGUGUACCUGAAGAAAAAGCAUCGGCUAACUCCGUGCCAGCAGCCGCGGUAAUACGGAGGAUGCGAGCGGUAUCCGGAUUUAUUGGGUUUAAAGGGUGCGCAGGCGGUCUGUUAAGUCAGCGGUCAAAGCCCGGGGCUCAACCCCAGCCCGCCGUGGAAGCUGGCA